CUCGCGUCGCGACGUCCUCCGCCCCUGAUUCCUCUCUCCUCGCCGCAGCCCCCGUCCCCGUCCCCUUCCCCCUGUCGAAGCUCUGCCGCCCCCGCUGCGACGAUCAAAGCUCCGCCAUCCCCGUCCUGUACUCCCUUGGAAAAGAUCGUUUUUUUCGACGGGAGGAGUAAUUCCGGCCUAGAUCCGGUGGUGGCGAUGCCGGAUCCUGCGACGGCGCCGACGCGAGCCACCAAGGGCAACGCAUGCCGUGGACCCCCUCUCCGGCUGCGCUUCCGCGAAACCCUAGCGGCUCCGCGUCCCGGCGACCAUCUCCGAGGCGGACAGCCAUCCCCGUCCCGUACUCCCUUGAAAAGAUCGAUUUUUUUCGACGUGAGGAGUAAUUCCGGCUUAAUCCGGUGGUGGCGGUGCCGGAUCCUGUGACGGCGCCGACGCGAGCCGCCAAGGGCAUCGCAUACCGUGGACUCCCUCUCCGGCUGCGCUUCCGCGAAACCCUAGCGGCUCGGCGUCCCGGCGACCAUCUGUAGCAGCCCGAGAAGGCCCGGACAAAUUCUUGGAGCAGUACGCCCGCCGCUCCAGCAACUUUCCUCACCGCCGUCCGUCGUCAUCAAGGUUCUCUCGGUGGUCGGAAUUUUGCAAGAUGAAGUUGAUCCUAUUCUUUCUACCAUGAAAAUUGAAAUGGCACCUUUGGAGUCUUGUGCUGACGUUGGUGGUUUAGAUGCUCAAAUUCAAGAGAUCAAACUAUACGAGGACAUUGGAUUCAGGCCUCCCAAGGGAGUCAUACUGUUUGGGGAACAGGGAAAGCUCUACUUGCAAAGGUAGACAGGCAGAUGGUCUCUCUUGCAUUCCGCUUCUCGAGGGUAAAAACUCCAAAGGAAAGAGCUCAUGUAGACUUGGAAACCCACUAUACUAAGGAAUACCUUGAUGAGAAAUUUGAGUCCUGCACAAGGAGAGCAAUCCCCUACAGAGUGGAAUAUGUGAAGAACAUAUCGUCUUCAGGGAUGCAGUCUAGUUGUGGCUUUGUAAGAAAUGGAUUUACACUUUAUCUGUUAGACAUAUGAGUGCCAUGUCCUGUGUUUCUCAGAUAUUUGUAGAACAAUCAGUUAACUCGUGAUAUCAAUGUCUUAGCCAAUCUCCCCCUUUCCGAUCUGACUGAUGGUAAUCCUUGGACUACGGAACAUGCUGUGCACUGGACAACCUGCUCCUCCUGCGCGUACCCCCUCUGGGAUAAGUCCACUUGCGAAGAUGCAUACUAGGCAGCUGAUGAUGAAGUGGCGCUGAGAAAUGGAGUUGCAUAAAAAAUAUUGCUGGGAUACUAUGCAGUACUCCUAGUAAUAAGUGAGGUCCAUUCUUUUCUCAAGGCCCAAAUUGCAAUGCAGGCAUCAUAAGCUUUCCAAGCUUUGAGACAAAGUUCAGGAAUGGAGCCUUGCCAAAUGCCAAGACAGAAUUAAAAUAAUGUCUCUGCAAAUACCCCCUCCAUCCGAAAAUACUUGUCAAGAGACUCCUGCAAGUAUUUCCGGACGGGAGGGAGUAUCUGGUUAUGUAUUUGGCAAAUUCUUUCUCAUGACCCAGAUUGCGAUGAAGGCAUCAUAAGUUGAUAAUUCAAAGCUUUGGUGACAGAGUUAGUGAGUUGAGGCAUAAAUGGAGCCUUGCCAGGUGCCAAGACACAGCUGAAAUAAUUUUCCUGUAUCUCCUGUCUUAAAUUAUGAGCACAUGCUACAAUAUUUUUACCAAAAUAAUUUUCCUGUA
Long non-coding RNA from Aegilops tauschii subsp. strangulata, 1746 nucleotides. RefSeq lists it as uncharacterized. Lineage: Eukaryota; Viridiplantae; Streptophyta; Magnoliopsida; Poales; Poaceae. The record is from RefSeq and is a predicted model, not a curated record.